RNAcentral lists this ribosomal RNA (318 nucleotides) under Candidatus Nomurabacteria bacterium. Its description in RNAcentral is "bacterial SSU rRNA". It matches the Rfam family "Bacterial small subunit ribosomal RNA", at positions 1187 to 1514 of the family's 1533-position model. The record is from RNAcentral. Lineage: Bacteria; Candidatus Nomuraibacteriota.
AGGUCAGCAUGUCCCUUGAUACCUUGGGCUACACACAUAAUACAAUGGCCACUACAACGCGCAGCGACGAGGCGACUCUGAGCUAAUCGUCCAAAAGUGGCCCCAGUUCGGAUUGGAGUCUGCAACUCGACUCCAUGAAGUUGGAAUUGCUAGUAAUCACAGGUCAGCUAAACUGUGGUGAAUACGUUCUCAAGUCUUGUACUCACCGCCCGUCAAGUCAAGGGAGCCGGGAGUACCCGAAGUCUCUACAUAAGUAGGGCCUAAGGCAAGCUCGGUGACAGGGACUAAGUCGUAACAAGGCACGGCUAGCGGAAGCUG